Molecule: long non-coding RNA, 293 nt
Filed under: Aquilegia coerulea
Lineage: Eukaryota; Viridiplantae; Streptophyta; Magnoliopsida; Ranunculales; Ranunculaceae
Description: long non-coding RNA (ACOE_LNC002324)
Source: RNAcentral
UGAAAAUUGUUGGUAUAGACUUGCAAAAUCCAGUUUUCAGUCAUGGGCAGUUGUACGUUGCUUUAUCAAGAUGCACUUCAUUGAGAAAUAUUUCAAUUUUACUUUCAAGUGAAGAAGAUGAAACUACAACCAAUGUGGUUUACCCAGAAGUUCUAUUAUACACAUUCAGGUAUUUUAAUUAUCAAUUAAAAAUUAUUAUAUUAAAUAUUUAGAAUAUAUUUCAUGUAAUUAAUCAAUUUUUAUUAAAUGUAGGUUACAACUAUUCUUUAGUGGAAGUGGAAAAGCUCCUGGAA